GAGGGUGUAGCUCAAGUGCUAAAUAAAGCACAUGCUUAACAUGCACGAGGUCCUGGGUUCAAUUCCCAGUACCUCCU
Molecule: transfer RNA, 77 nt
Filed under: Camelus bactrianus (Bactrian camel)
Lineage: Eukaryota; Metazoa; Chordata; Mammalia; Artiodactyla; Camelidae
Also listed under: 3 other names
Rfam family: tRNA
About the family: Transfer RNA (tRNA) molecules are approximately 80 nucleotides in length. Their secondary structure includes four short double-helical elements and three loops (D, anti-codon, and T loops).
Source: Rfam by way of RNAcentral